GACAGAGGUGGCAAGCGUUGUUCGGUAUUACUGGGCUUAAAGCGUGUGUAGGCGGAAGCGUAAGCAUCUUGUGAAAUCCCUCGGCUUAACCGGGGAAAUGCUUGAUGAACUGCGUUUCUUGAGGCAGGUAGGGGUGCGAGGAACUCUUGGUGGAGCGGUGGAAUGCGUAGAUAUCAAGAGGAACGCCGGUGGUGAAGACGUCGCACUGGGCCUGUCCUGACGCUGAGACACGAAAGCGUGGGGAGCGAACGGG
Molecule: ribosomal RNA, 253 nt
Filed under: uncultured Phycisphaerae bacterium
Lineage: Bacteria; Pseudomonadati; Planctomycetota; Phycisphaerae
Description: partial 16S ribosomal RNA
Rfam family: Bacterial small subunit ribosomal RNA
Source: RNAcentral